GAGGCCAAAUCACCCUGAAUGCGAUCGACCGCGACAGAUCUCGGAAGCUAAGCAGGGAUUUUGAGCCUGGUUAGUACUGGUAUAGGAUACAGCCUGGGAAUGCCAGUAGUCACAGGCU
RNAcentral lists this ribosomal RNA (118 nucleotides) under Petromyzon marinus (sea lamprey). Lineage: Eukaryota; Metazoa; Chordata; Hyperoartia; Petromyzontiformes; Petromyzontidae. The record is from RNAcentral.